Molecule: ribosomal RNA, 744 nt
Filed under: Xanthomelon obliquirugosum
Lineage: Eukaryota; Metazoa; Mollusca; Gastropoda; Stylommatophora; Camaenidae
Description: partial 16S ribosomal RNA
Source: RNAcentral
CACGAAUUAAGGCGAGCUAAUUAAUUGUAAAUAUUAGUUACUAAAUGUUGCAGAAUUGUAUAAAACUUUUAAUUAGGAGUGAUAGGCUUCUCACGUCUUAGGAUAACUUGAUGUUUAUGAAAUAUAUUAAGUAUAUAGUCAAUUAAAGAGUGCCAAGAUUCUUUAUAAGUACAAAUGUUAAUUAAUUCACUAUUCAAACUAUAACUAGUAGACGCCUUUUAAAGAAACAUAAAUCUUUUAAAGAUUGUAUAAUAUAAUAAACUAUUCUUAAUCCAAUAAAACAUAGAUAAUGUUAUUAUAAGUAGUAAAUCAAUUAUUUGAAAUGAACUCGGCAAUAUUUUCUCCAACUGUUUAUCAAAAACAUAGCUGGUAGAAUUUAAUUAUUAGUAUUUUCUGCUCCAUGAGAAUUUAAAUAGCCGCAGUACCCUGACUGUGCUAAGGUAGCAUAAUCAAUUGGCUUGUAAUUUAAGUCUGGUAUGAAUGAAAUAAUGAGAGAAAAGCUGUAUAGUAAAUAAAAAAUAAAAUUAUUUUGUAAGUGAAAAUACUUACUGAAAAUUAUUAGACGAGAAGACCCUAGAAAUUUUUAAAGAUUGUCAAACACUUUUUUGUUGGGGCAACAUUGUUAAAAGUAACUAACAGUAAAACACAAGAAAUUAUUUGAUAGAUUAAAUUACUCUAGGGAUAACAGCGUAAUGUAUGUACGUUUGCGACCUCGAUGUUGGAUUAGGAAAUAACAGCUUAGAA